GAUGAACGCUGGCGGCGUGCCUAAUACAUGCAAGUCGAGCGAACAGACGUGGAGCUUGCUCCUCUGACGUUAGCGGCGGACGGGUGAGUAACACGUGGAUAACCUACCUAUAAGACUGGGAUAACUUCGGGAAACCGGAGCUAAUACCGGAUAAUAUAUUGAACCGCAUGGUUCAAUAGUGAAAGACGGUUUUGCUGUCACUUAUAGAUGGAUCCGCGCCGCAUUAGCUAGUUGGUAAGGUAACGGCUUACCAAGGCAACGAUGCGUAGCCGACCUGAAAGGGUGAUCGGCCACACUGGAACUGAGACACGGUCCAGACUCCUACGGGAGGCAGCAGUAGGGAAUCUUCCGCAAUGGGCGAAAGCCUGACGGAGCAACGCCGCGUGAGUGAUGAAGGUCUUCGGAUCGUAAAACUCUGUUAUUAGGGAAGAACAAAUGUGUAAGUAACUAUGCACGUCUUGACGGUACCUAAUCAGAAAGCCACGGCUAACUACGUG
RNAcentral lists this ribosomal RNA (497 nucleotides) under uncultured bacterium. RNAcentral describes it as "partial 16S ribosomal RNA". It matches the Rfam family "Bacterial small subunit ribosomal RNA", at positions 28 to 507 of the family's 1533-position model. The record is from RNAcentral.